RNAcentral lists this ribosomal RNA (253 nucleotides) under uncultured bacterium. RNAcentral's name for it is "partial 16S ribosomal RNA". It matches the Rfam family "Bacterial small subunit ribosomal RNA", at positions 524 to 776 of the family's 1533-position model. The record is from RNAcentral.
UACGAAGGGGGCUAGCGUUGCUCGGAAUCACUGGGCGUAAAGGGUGCGUAGGCGGGUCUUUAAGUCAGGGGUGAAAUCCUGGAGCUCAACUCCAGAACUGCCUUUGAUACUGAAGAUCUUGAGUUCGGGAGAGGUGAGUGGAACUGCGAGUGUAGAGGUGAAAUUCGUAGAUAUUCGCAAGUACACCAGUGGCGAAGGCGGCUCACUGGCCCGAUACUGACGCUGAGGCACGAAAGCGUGGGGAGCAAACAGG